This 1553-nucleotide ribosomal RNA is filed under the name Escherichia coli. RNAcentral's name for it is "bacterial SSU rRNA". It matches the Rfam family "Bacterial small subunit ribosomal RNA". The record is from RNAcentral. Lineage: Bacteria; Pseudomonadati; Pseudomonadota; Gammaproteobacteria; Enterobacterales; Enterobacteriaceae.
AAAUUGAAGAGUUUGAUCAUGGCUCAGAUUGAACGCUGGCGGCAGGCCUAACACAUGCAAGUCGAACGGUAACAGGAAGAAGCUUGCUUCUUUGCUGACGAGUGGCGGACGGGUGAGUAAUGUCUGGGAAACUGCCUGAUGGAGGGGGAUAACUACUGGAAACGGUAGCUAAUACCGCAUAACGUCGCAAGACCAAAGAGGGGGACCUUCGGGCCUCUUGCCAUCGGAUGUGCCCAGAUGGGAUUAGCUAGUAGGUGGGGUAACGGCUCACCUAGGCGACGAUCCCUAGCUGGUCUGAGAGGAUGACCAGCCACACUGGAACUGAGACACGGUCCAGACUCCUACGGGAGGCAGCAGUGGGGAAUAUUGCACAAUGGGCGCAAGCCUGAUGCAGCCAUGCCGCGUGUAUGAAGAAGGCCUUCGGGUUGUAAAAGUACUUUCAGCGGGGAGGAAGGGAGUAAAGUUAAUACCUUUGCUCAUUGACGUUACCCGCAGAAGAAGCACCGGCUAACUCCGUGCCAGCAGCCGCGGUAAUACGGAGGGUGCAAGCGUUAAUCGGAAUUACUGGGCGUAAAGCGCACGCAGGCGGUUUGUUAAGUCAGAUGUGAAAUCCCCGGGCUCAACCUGGGAACUGCAUCUGAUACUGGCAAGCUUGAGUCUCGUAGAGGGGGUAGAAUUCCGGUGUAGCGGUGAAAUGCGUAGAGAUCUGGAGGAAUACCGGUGGCGAAGGCGGCCCCCUGGACGAAGACUGACGCUCAGGUGCGAAAGCGUGGGGAGCAAACAGGAUUAGAUACCCCGGUAGUCCACGCCGUAAACGAUGUCGACUUGGAGGUUGUGCCCUUGAGGCGUGGCUUCCGGAGCUAACGCGUUAAGUCGACCGCCUGGGGAGUACGGCCGCAAGGUUAAAACUCAAAUGAAUUGACGGGGGCCCGCACAAGCGGUGGAGCAUGUGGUUUAAUUCGAUGCAACGCGAAGAACCUUACCUGGUCUUGACAUCCACGGAAGUUUUCAGAGAUGAGAAUGUGCCUUCGGGAACCGUGAGACAGGUGCUGCAUGGCUGUCGUCAGCUCGUGUUGUGAAAUGUUGGGUUAAGUCCCGCAACGAGCGCAACCCUUAUCCUUUGUUGCCAGCGGUCCGGCCGGGAACUCAAAGGAGACUGCCAGUGAUAAACUGGAGGAAGGUGGGGAUGACGUCAAGUCAUCAUGGCCCUUACGACCAGGGCUACACACGUGCUACAAUGGCGCAUACAAAGAGAAGCGACCUCGCGAGAGCAAGCGGACCUCAUAAAGUGCGUCGUAGUCCGGAUUGGAGUCUGCAACUCGACUCCAUGAAGUCGGAAUCGCUAGUAAUCGUGGAUCAGAAUGCCACGGUGAAUACGUUCCCGGGCCUUGUACACACCGCCCGUCACACCAUGGGAGUGGGUUGCAAAAGAAGUAGGUAGCUUAACCUUCGGGAGGGCGCUUACCACUUUGUGAUUCAUGACUGGGGUGAAGUCGUAACAAGGUAACCGUAGGGGAACCUGCGGUUGGAUCACCUCCUUACCUUAAAGAAGC